CUUCCUGAGUGUACAGAUUUCGAUGACUUACUUCCUCAAGGCAGGGCUCGGUGAAGUUCUGGCAUACCUGUCCGCAGGACACCUGAGGGAAGAUGCCUCUCCAGCUCCCCACCCUAACUGACAAGGUCUGAGCAAUACAGAAACUUCCAUGGGCUCACCAAAAUGGCUUUCCCUAUGCCCUGGGCUAGAGUGAGAUAACAUUUCCAGGCUCUUCUGCAGUUGGGUGUGGACUGAGUUCUGACAAUGGAAUGACUCUAAGAACCCAGGGGAGGAGGAGCCCAACUUGGAAGGAGCCUGGGAUCCUGAACAACCAUGAAAGUUGAUGCCCAUUUUGGUUCUGACCUGACUGAAAAAUAAAG
This is a long non-coding RNA of Manis javanica (Malayan pangolin), 359 nucleotides long. RefSeq lists it as uncharacterized. The record is from RefSeq and is a predicted model, not a curated record. Lineage: Eukaryota; Metazoa; Chordata; Mammalia; Pholidota; Manidae.